ACUCAGUUGGUAGAGUACAAAGCUCUUAACCUUAUGGACAUGGGUUCAAGCCCCAU
Non-coding RNA from Triticum urartu, 56 nucleotides. Lineage: Eukaryota; Viridiplantae; Streptophyta; Magnoliopsida; Poales; Poaceae. The record is from Rfam.